This 333-nucleotide ribosomal RNA is filed under the name Vibrio parahaemolyticus. Its description in RNAcentral is "partial 23S ribosomal RNA". It matches the Rfam family "Bacterial large subunit ribosomal RNA", at positions 791 to 1123 of the family's 2925-position model. Lineage: Bacteria; Pseudomonadati; Pseudomonadota; Gammaproteobacteria; Vibrionales; Vibrionaceae. The record is from RNAcentral.
GAAAAAUUAGCGGAUGACUUGUGGCUAGGGGUGAAAGGCCAAUCAAACCUGGAGAUAGCUGGUUCUCCCCGAAAGCUAUUUAGGUAGCGCCUCGGACGAAUACUACUGGGGGUAGAGCACUGUUAAGGCUAGGGGGUCAUCCCGACUUACCAACCCUUUGCAAACUCCGAAUACCAGUAAGUACUAUCCGGGAGACACACGGCGGGUGCUAACGUCCGUCGUGGAGAGGGAAACAACCCAGACCGUCAGCUAAGGUCCCAAAUUACUACUAAGUGGGAAACGAUGUGGGAAGGCUCAGACAGCCAGGAUGUUGGCUUAGAAGCAGCCAUCAUU